RNAcentral lists this ribosomal RNA (253 nucleotides) under uncultured bacterium. Its description in RNAcentral is "partial 16S ribosomal RNA". It matches the Rfam family "Bacterial small subunit ribosomal RNA", at positions 524 to 776 of the family's 1533-position model. The record is from RNAcentral.
UACAGGGGGGGCGAGCGUUGUUCGGAAUUACUGGGCGUAAAGGGCGCGUAGGCGGCCUGUUAAGUCGAACGUGAAAUCCCCGGGCUCAACCCGGGAACUGCGUCCGAUACUGGCAGGCUUGAAUUCGGGAGAGGGAUGUGGAAUUCCAGGUGUAGCGGUGAAAUGCGUAGAUAUCUGGAGGAACACCGGUGGCGAAGGCGGCAUCCUGGACCGAUAUUGACGCUGAUGCGCGAAAGCCAGGGGAGCAAACGGG